RNAcentral lists this ribosomal RNA (465 nucleotides) under uncultured bacterium. Its description in RNAcentral is "partial 16S ribosomal RNA". It matches the Rfam family "Bacterial small subunit ribosomal RNA", at positions 338 to 795 of the family's 1533-position model. The record is from RNAcentral.
CCUACGGGAGGCUGCAGUGGGGAAUAUUGCACAAUGGGGGAAACCCUGAUGCAGCGACGCCGCGUGAGCGAUGAAGUAUUUCGGUAUGUAAACCUCUGUCAGCAGGGAAGAACGGUCACUGUGCUAAUCAGCAGUGAAUUGACGGUACCUGCAAAGGAAGCACCGGCUAACUCCGUGCCAGCAGCCGCGGUAAUACGGAGGGUGCGAGCGUUAAUCGGAAUUACUGGGCGUAAAGCGCUCGUAGGCGGUAUGUCAAGUCAAGGGUGAAAUCCCCGCGCUCAACGUGGGAACUGCCUUUGAAACUGGCAAACUGGAGUGUGUGAGAGGAUAGUGGAAUUCCAGGUGUAGGAGUGAAAUCCGUAGAUAUCUGGAGGAACAUCAGUGGCGAAGGCGACUAUCUGGCACAUAACUGACGCUGAGGAGCGAAAGCGUGGGUAGCAAACAGGAUUAGAUACCCCAGUAGUC